GCUGCCAGAUCCUACCCACUCAAGCCCUGGGUAGUGCUGACUGAUGGCUGUUGCUGCUUCCUGAGCUUGUACCAGCUGCACAGGGAGCGACACUAUCCCUCCACCUCCAGUGAGUGCCCCUGCUACAGUCAGACCUCAUGCAACCUCCUGUCCAGCUUAGUCACCCGCCCGUCAUUCAUGCAGCAAACCCAUCUCUAGGAUAGGGAGAGAAGAGGCACAAGAAGCUGCUCAGGGCAGAAAACACCGGCCAGGCUGCGUGAGAUACACUGCAUGGAGGGUCUCACCAUAUGUGGAUCUACCCCAUCCUGUAUGGACUGAGAGGACGUCUGCUAUCUUCAUGGAACUCUCUUCAUCUGGCUCAGAUCCUGCAGAGAAUGAUGUGCCUGUAAAUUAGUCUUCAGGAAGAGAGCGAGCUAUGACCCCUGCUUCCAAACAAGUCAAGAGAACUGGCAAAUGCCUUUCAGAUCAUGUUUUAAAACCUUCUACAUCUGGUGCACAGAAUGAGGCAGCGGCUUUGGUAGUGGAUAGCAAGAGGCAAAGGUCAAACCAGAGGCUGCACAAAUAUUGCGCACUGGAUUUAUUGUUUUAAUUAAGAGUGUGGCAGUUCAUCAUAAACUGUUUAUGGUGUUUUUUGCACAGUGCAGCAUUUUGAAAUCAGCUGUUUUAAUGAAAACAUAAUGUCAUAUCUGUCAAAGUUCUAAAUAUUUUGAAAGUGAAAUAUGAAAACAAGAACUUUAAUUCUGGGUUUACUAGGAUUAGCUCACUGAAUUGCUUUUUAAAUCCCUUAAGAGUGUCAUGUCAUGGGUACUGUGUGGUUCCAUGAUGGGGUAGGAGGCUGGAAAACUGGAGGUACUGUAGCUUGUUAUUUAAUAGCAAAAAUACAUGCUGAGGGCUAAUGUAUUGAAAACACUAUUAUUUAUUAUUAUUUGUGUUGAAAUGCUAGAUAAAAGAAGCAAUCAGAGAUAAGGCACUUUCUCCACAAUAUGCAGAAUGUAAAUUGUGAGUCCUCAUGCUAAAAAAUCUGAAUAAGGUCUUGAAACUGGAAAGAAAUAUAUCUUCAGUAGUUAAUAUGAUGUUAUGAAAUCUCAGCAUCAGAAUCUUUGUAACUAAUUAUUUAUAAUAACCUCAAAGAUGAUAGGUUUGUGGACUUUUAAAGCUGGGUAGUUUUGAAGUCCUUGUAAUUUCCUACUAUUGUUAUGCAUUCAUUUAGAUAUGUCAGGCAAUUUUGGUUUAAUUUGUUAUGUAGUCUGAUAAAAUAUUUGUAUAAUCUGAAAAUUGUAUUUUUUUGUAAUACUCGCCUUUGAAAAUAGAAAUUAAGUCUGUCAUUAGAUGCUAGGCCACAGUAGUUGACUGAGCAGGCUAAUAUAUGUUACAUUCUGUGCUAUACUUGGUCAAGUUUCAUAUAUAUUGUAUUCCACAUUAUUUUAUUAAAUUUAAUAUCUGCACUUUCUAUUUCCAGACAUGCCUCUCAUUCAAAGCACAGAGGCACAGUUCUCUAAUCAGAAGUGACAAGCUAUAUACUUUCUUUCAGCCAUUAUUCGGUAGCCUAGAGCAAGGAGCUCUGUUUCCUUGAAAAUGUUUGAAUUGGGUUAUUUUUAUUGAAGUAUUAAAGUAAUUCUUCAGAUUUUAGGCUAUUAUUUAAGCACUUUUGGGAGAAUGCAAUAGUAUCUGGAUCCUAUAGCCUUUGUUAUGUUAACAAUUGUAGUACUAAAUAUGUCUCUUUUUUAAUGCUAGUUAUGUAAGUAUCUGAAAAUUCAUAUCUGACUGAUUGAAACUAACAACGCUUAGGUAAAUAAACUAAUUUAGCCUACUCAUUUUGUUUAGGUCCAGGAGUAGCAUGUUAAAAUGGCUCACUAGUUAAAUAUACAACUAGAUUCAGGUUACCCUACUGUCAUCGACCAAUUUGUCAUCUUAACUAUUAUUUUUAUUUGUCAAAAUAAUGAAUGUGCUGAAUGCUAACCUCAUGUCAAGAAAUCUGAAGGGGUCGGUGUUUGUAUUUUGAGGCAAUAUAUGGGUAGGAUGAUGUUAGUAAUAAAUGCUAAUAACUUUACAUUUUGAUUUAGUUACACUGACUGUACACACAAAAGGAUCUCCAGAGGCUCUGCAGAUUGCGGGUCUGAUGCUCCCCUCCCUUAACAUGGGAAGAGGGAAGCAUAACAUGGCAAAAUUUAGUGUAUUUUAGUAUUGAAAGAGGAUGGAGCAGCUGCCCCUAUCCUCAAAGCCAUGGAGACCCUUUUAGCAACCGCAGAAGCGGAUAUUCCAAGGACAGACCCUGGGAGCAGCCAUUCUCUGUGGCAUAGUCCUUAUGGGCUCCAGAGGCUUUCUUAAUGGUAAUCCUAAUAAACCAAGCAAUGUUAACUUCCUUUCCAAGUCUUCUACCCAUUGUGGAGUGGAAUGGGUAAGGCAGUAUGUGCAAUGGGAGAGCCAAAAACAGCAUAGUGUCAGGGUUGGGUAAGCAAUUUGGAGGGAUACAGAGAGUGUAGUUACUGUGUGUCCAGGCCACAAUCCCUGAACUCUAAAUUAGCACUUGGUCUCCCUCAUACAUAUAUAGCCAGCCUUGCUGAGUUUUGUAGUGUUUCUAUGAUAUGCACAAAAGUGGGUUAUAAUGACACCACCAAAUUCACUUCCAAUCCUGACCAAAGUCUUUGCUUAAGGAAGGAAUUAUUAAUUAUUUUGCAUAAAUAUCAUAAGUGUAAAUGCAAAGUGACUUGAUGGAAACAAAGUCUAACUGUCCAGGAACAGGUGUAAUCAACAUCUAUCAGUUAGAAGCCUUACUGUAAUCUUCUCUGAUUUUGUUUGUGUAAUCUGCAUUUUUCUUAAGGCGAGUUUGUACUGAGAUGUUCUUCUCUUAGACCAUGUCAUAGUUGGCUCCUACUCUGGCAACAGUGGGGGAACACUUACUUUCCUCAUCAGGAUCCAAAUUCUACUCAGCUGGCAAACCCAGGUAGUUCAAUUAGAGCUAAUGGGACUAUUUGAGUGACCAAGAUUUGGGCAUAGGUCUAGAGACAGCUCCAGGUACGCACUAUAUCAGGAAUUCUCAACCUUUUUCUUUCUAAGGCCACCCUAACGUGAUAUAAAAACUCCAUGGCCCACCUGUGCCACAAAUAAUAUCACAGGCUCUAGAGUAAAUGAGUAUUUUGUGUGUUGGGGUUUUUUUUGUUUUAAAGCCCAAAUUAAAAUCUUGGGGCUGCACACUUCAAACUUUGGUGGAAUUGAGAUCUGAACCCAUUUACAGAUUGAAAUUUUUGAGGCUGACUGUUAUCAGUAACAACUAGAAGCUUCAGAAAGUCCUCUUAGCAAGGUGAAGAGUAUAACCUAGUGUGGAUAACUCAUUAAAAGUUCUAGUGUACUGACAUUAAUGACACCAAUACAGUGUAGGGAAGAAAAAAAGGAAAGUACAGAUAGAGGGAAUGGCGUGUCCAAAAUAUUUACUAAAUCAGUGAGCUUCAAUUCACUAAAGAAUUUUGAGUAACAGCAGAUUACUUUGGGUAAAGACAUGAAUAAAAACUUAAGGAAAAGUCUGAGUGGUGUAGCAAGACAGAAUCCUCCCCUCUACCUGGUGUCUGUCUGUGGAGUGGCAGUGUCUGUUUCAGCUGUACUUCCACUGGGAGGAAUGUGGAGUGUGUGCCCAUCUAGUGGGCUAAACCCUGCCCUUCUUACCUGGUGCUCAUGCUCUUUGUAAUAGUACAAGGGGACAUGGUCUGCAAAUUAAGAGGUAUAUCUAACUGCUGAGGCAGCUAGUACAUGCUGCAGUCACUAGCUGUCUUGCAGUGACCAGGGCUAGGUUUAAGUCGGUAUGCAUUACCUCUUGCACCAAUAAUAUUGUAAGGAUAGCAAGGUUUCUCUUGGCCAUCAUCAGGCAAAAGAAAUUAUUCUAGAGUCUGAUCAACGCAACCCAAAGCAGGAAAGAGGGAUUAGGUGUCAAGGCAGAUACAAUAGUUGCAUUUCCUAUUACAUCUGCAAGAGACUAUCCAGUGGAUUCUCUUAUCAUUGCCCUUUAAUAUCAGGUUGCUUGGAGUCCUUCAGAUGUGAACAGCCUCUGUAGCUGUGGGUCAAAGCAGGUUGGUUGAAUUUAGGCCAGCAGGUAUGGGAGGGUAUUGUUUCUUUGGGUGAUUCAUUAAAUGUGCCAAUAUACUGAGGACAAUAUUAUCAAAUUAUGUCAUUAGUAUCAAACCAUAUAAAGACUUUAAAGUCUUUAAAUCAAGACUGGAUGACUUUCCUAAAGAUAUACUCUAGCUCAGCCAGUCAGGCAUCAUGCGGAUAUCACUUGGUGAAAUAAUGUGGACUGUAUUAUUCAGUAGAUCAGAAUAGGUAAUCAUUAUGGUCCCUUUUGGCCUCAAAAUCUAUUAAUGUGAAAUAUGUAAUUCUGUACCAUUACUGAUGUGUAUUAAAAUCUAUUCAUAUGUUUUGGCUAAAAUGACGCAAUAUCGUAUUCAGAGAAUUAGAAGAAAAUUUUUCGGAGUAGUAAUUACAUAAGCUAGUUCUAAGCUAUGAUCCAUUUU
Long non-coding RNA from Dermochelys coriacea (leatherback sea turtle), 4502 nucleotides. RefSeq lists it as uncharacterized. The record is from RefSeq and is a predicted model, not a curated record. The transcript is spliced from 5 exons. Lineage: Eukaryota; Metazoa; Chordata; Testudines; Dermochelyidae.